RNAcentral lists this ribosomal RNA (2742 nucleotides) under Stachyamoeba lipophora. RNAcentral describes it as "LSU rRNA". It matches the Rfam family "Bacterial large subunit ribosomal RNA". The record is from RNAcentral. Lineage: Eukaryota; Heterolobosea; Gruberellidae.
AUGAAAUUGACAUCAUUUUUUGCAUAUAAACAUAUAUAUGAGUGUUUGGGGGAUAGCUUGGUAUCUGAGUUUAAAAACGUAAUGACUCGAAAUAAGGCGUUAGGAUAAAUGUUAUGUUCGGUGAUCGCUUUUUUUUAUUACUACAAAAUUUAGUAGUAUAAAGUAUGCUAAUGAAUUGAAACAUCUUAGUAGUUAGUAGAAUAGAAAUCAACCGAGAUUUUGUUAGUAGUGGUGAGCGAAAACAAAGAUAGAAUAUAGUAAGGAAUAUGCUUUAUUAGAAUAUUCAAUGGAUAAAGAUAGCGUAACAAGGUGAGAGUCCUGUAUAAGGGGCAUCUUUUUUAAGAAAAAGUAAAACAAUUUAGGAGGAUAUUGUUUGAAUAUAGGAAACCCACUUUCUAAUUCUAAAUAUGCUCAGAUAACCGAUAGAGAAAAGUAUCGUGAGAGAAAAGCUGAAAAGCACUCCUGGAAGGAGGGUUAAUGAAUCUGAAACUGAACACUCAAGAAGCAUCUGAAGUAUUUUUUUAAUAUAACAGUAUACCUUUUGCAUAAUGGGUCAGCGAGUAUAUUUAUUAUGCAAGCGUAAGUUAUUAAACGAACGCGUAGUUAAUACGUAGAGUAUGUAGUAUAAUGUAUAUGACCCGAAGCUGAAUGAUCUAACCAUGACCAAGUUGAAAAUAUAUUAAUAGUAUGUUGGAGGACUGAACCCGUGUAUGUUGCAUUAUACUGGGAUGAGUUGUGGUUAGGGGUGAAAGGCCAUUCAAAUUCAGUAUAGCUGGUUUUCUGCGAAAUCUAUUGAAGUAGAGUGUAGUAAUAACAACAUAAGAUGUAGAGCACUAAAUAAUUAAUGGGGAUCGGUGAUUUUACUGCAAUUAUUUAAACUUCCAAGUAUUAUGAUUUGAUUUACUACAACCGGAAUGUAGGCGAUAAGGUUUAUAUUCGAGAGGGAAACAGCCCAGAUUAUAAAUUAAGGUUAUUUAAAAUUAUUUUAGUGUAGGAUACGUUACAGUAUUCAAUUAGGAUGUAGGCUUGGAAGCAGCCAUCAUUUAAAGAUAGCGUAAAAGCUCACUAAUUUAAUUUUUUUAUUGUAGCGUUGUAAAUGUAUAGUAUCUCAAAAUAAUUACCGAAAUUAUAAUAUAAUAAUAUAUAUAAGUAGUAGAAUGUUUUGUAUUUUGUAGAAGAAAAAUAAAAAAUAUUUUUUGGAGAAAUCAAAAUUACUUAUGUUGAUAUGAGUAACAACAAACAAUGUGUGAAACAUUGUCGCCGAAAAUCCAAGGGUUUUUAAUUUAAAAUGGAUUAGCCAAAUAAAGUUAUUCGGUCUCUAAGAACAAAACUGAUGUUUCGUUUGAUGAGAUUCUCAAGAAGGAGUUUUUAAUUUGUUUGACGCUUUUUCAUAGAAACUAUUUUUGUUUAUGAAUACUAGAUAUUUUUUGUGAAAGAGUCAGGAAAAUGAUGAUUUUUACUACUAUUAGAUUAAUAAUAAUUACCGUACUCUAAACUGACACAGGUGGAUUCGUAGAGUAUACGCAGGCGAUUGGAAGAAUGAUGUUGAAGGAACUCGGCAAAAUGACUCUGUAACUUAGGGAGAAAGAGUUUUGUUUACAGUAGCUGUAAACAAAGGCAGAAAGCAGAGAAGAGCGACUGUUUAGCAAAAACACAGGAUUCUGCAAAAUCGAAAUGAUGAAGUAUUGAAUCUGACUCCUGCCCUGUGCUAAUGAAUAAAAAAAGUUGUUAGUAGCAAUUUUUAUAACAGUUAGUUAACGGCGGCUGUAUCUCUGACGGUCCGAAGGUAGCGAAAUUCCUUGUCUGUUAAUUGCAGACCUUGCAUGAAUGGAGUAACGACUCUUCUACUGUCUCCAGCAUCAUUCCAGUGAAAUUGAAUUUUCUGUGAAAAUGCAGAGUAUUGAUAGCUAGACGGAAAGACCCCAUGCAGCUUUACUAUAAUUAUGUACAGAAUUUAUUAAGUAGUUUAUGUAGGAUAGGUGGGAGUUUAUGGUAAAUGGGUAUUUUUGUAUUCAUUUAAGUAAAAACAAUCUUGAAAUACCAUUUUGACUUUUGGUAAUUACUUGACGAUAACGUCAUAAACUUUAUAAUUGGUAGUUUGAUUGGGGCGAUUGCCACCUAAAUCGUAACGGUGGUGUGCAAAGGUAGACUCUAGUUAUACAGAACAUAACUAUAGAAUGUAAUGGUUUAAGUCUGCCUGAUUGUUAGAUUUACAAAUCAAACAAGAACGCAAGUUUGCCAUAGUGACCCGGUAUUUCUUAGUGGUAAGAAUAUCGAUUAACGAAUAAAAGCUACGCUGGGGAUAACAGGCUGAUAAUUCCCAAGAGUCCAUAUCUACGGAAUUGUUUGGCACCUCGAUGUCGGCUCAUCACAUCCUAGAGCUGAAAAAGGUUCUAAGGGUUUAGCUGUUCGCUAAUGAAAGUGGUACGUGAGCUGGGUUCAGAACGUUGUGAAACAGUUCGGUCCCUAUCUACUAUUAAUAAAGAAAAUCAAUAUAAACUUUCUUCUAGUACGAAAGGACUGAAGAAAGCACACCUCUGGUGUAUGAAUUGUCUUUUCAUAGGCAUAGUUUAGUAGCUACGUGUGUUCAAAUAACUGUUGAUAUCAUAUAAAUAGGAAGUUGAUAUAUUAUGAUUCUCUAUGAGGGAGGUUAAAGAUUAUGACUGUAAUAGGUUAAAAGUGUAAGUGCAGUAAUGUAUUUAGCUAAUUAAUACUAAUAAGCCCAAUAAUAUGUAGUUGUAA